CACGAAACUGAGCAUGGCUGUCAACUCUCUAUCAAAGGUUCUUUUCCGGUUUCGUACACGACGAAGGAGAUAUUAAACAAUGGGUCGUUACUCACGUGAGCCAGAUAACGCCACCAAGUCGUGCAAGUCGCGCGGUCCCAAUCUACGU
This is an RNA transcript of Drosophila busckii, 148 nucleotides long. RefSeq lists it as uncharacterized. The record is from RefSeq and is a predicted model, not a curated record. The transcript has 2 exons. NCBI's taxonomy places the organism in Eukaryota, Metazoa, Arthropoda, Insecta, Diptera, Drosophilidae.